GCGGGUGUAGCUCAGCGGUAGAGCAUCAGCUUCCCAAGCUGAGGGUCACGGGUUCAAUUCCCGUCACCCGCU
RNAcentral lists this transfer RNA (72 nucleotides) under Candidatus Poribacteria bacterium. RNAcentral's name for it is "tRNA-Gly". It matches the Rfam family "tRNA". From Rfam's summary of the family: Transfer RNA (tRNA) molecules are approximately 80 nucleotides in length. Their secondary structure includes four short double-helical elements and three loops (D, anti-codon, and T loops). The record is from RNAcentral. Lineage: Bacteria; Candidatus Poribacteria.